Molecule: ribosomal RNA, 604 nt
Filed under: uncultured bacterium
Lineage: Bacteria
Description: bacterial SSU rRNA
Rfam family: Bacterial small subunit ribosomal RNA
Source: RNAcentral
GUCGGACGGCAGCACAGAGAAGCUUGCUUCUUGGGUGGCGAGUGGCGAACGGGUGGGUAAUAUAUCGGAACGUACCGAGUAAUGGGGGAUAACUAAUCGAAAGAUUAGCUAAUACCGCAUAUUCUCUGAGGAGGAAAGCAGGGGACCUUCGGGCCUUGCGUUAUUCGAGCGGCCGAUAUCUGAUUAGCUAGUUGGUGGGGUAAAGGCCUACCAAGGCGACGAUCAGUAGCGGGUCUGAGAGGAUGAUCCGCCACACUGGGACUGAGACACGGCCCAGACUCCUACGGGAGGCAGCAGUGGGGAAUUUUGGACAAUGGGCGCAAGCCUGAUCCAGCCAUGCCGCGUGUCUGAAGAAGGCCUUCGGGUUGUAAAGGACUUUUGUCAGGGAAGAAAAGGAUAGGGUUAAUACCCCUGUCUGAUGACGGUACCUGAAGAAUAAGCACCGGCUAACUACGUGCCAGCAGCCGCGGUAAUACGUAGGGUGCGAGCGUUAAUCGGAAUUACUGGGCGUAAAGCGAGCGCAGACGGUUACUUAAGCAGGAUGUGAAAUCCCCGGGCUCAACCUGGGAACUGCGUUCUGAACUGGGUGACUAGAGUGUGUCAG